This 433-nucleotide ribosomal RNA is filed under the name uncultured bacterium. Its description in RNAcentral is "partial 16S ribosomal RNA". It matches the Rfam family "Bacterial small subunit ribosomal RNA", at positions 29 to 507 of the family's 1533-position model. The record is from RNAcentral.
AACGAACGCUGGCGGCAUGCCUAACACAUGCAAGUCGAACGAGACCUUCGGGUCUAGUGGCGCACGGGUGCGUAACGCGUGGGAACCUGCCCUUAGGUUCGGAAUAACUCCCCGAAAGGGGUGCUAAUACCGGAUAAUGUCUUCGGACCAAGGAUUUAUCGCCUUUGGAUGGGCCCGCGUUGGAUUAGCUAGUUGGUAGGGUAAAAGCCUACCAAGGCGACGAUCCAUAGCUGGUCUGAGAGGAUGAUCAGCCACACUGGGACUGAGACACGGCCCAGACUCCUACGGGAGGCAGCAGUGGGGAAUAGUGGACAAUGGGCGAAAGCAUGAUCCAGCAAUGCCGCGAGAGUGAUGAAGGCAGUAGGGUUGUAAAGCUCUUUUACCCGGGAUGAUAAUGACAGUACCGGGAGAAUAAGCUCCGGCUAACUCCGUG